This 248-nucleotide long non-coding RNA is filed under the name Polistes fuscatus (common paper wasp). Its description in RNAcentral is "uncharacterized LOC122523457". The record is from RNAcentral. Lineage: Eukaryota; Metazoa; Arthropoda; Insecta; Hymenoptera; Vespidae.
CUUGACUGUUACAAAAAUUUUGUUUGUAAUUUUUUUAAAAGUUCAAACAAUCCCCAUCAAAAGUUUGGAUGCAUAAAACAAUGAAAAGAGACAGAAGGAAUGGAAACAAUACAAGAAAAGGAAAUGGAUCGUUUAUUCACGCCAACCACCAACCAGCGUAAAAUUUAAAUAAACUAAUGACUAAGAAAUGUGUGUACGUAUUAUAUGUCUUUCUCAUUGAUUGUGUGGGAGAUAUUAAAGUACACAGA